Molecule: transfer RNA, 80 nt
Filed under: Sphingobacterium paludis
Lineage: Bacteria; Pseudomonadati; Bacteroidota; Sphingobacteriia; Sphingobacteriales; Sphingobacteriaceae
Description: tRNA-Phe
Rfam family: tRNA
About the family: Transfer RNA (tRNA) molecules are approximately 80 nucleotides in length. Their secondary structure includes four short double-helical elements and three loops (D, anti-codon, and T loops).
Source: RNAcentral
GGGAUGGCAGAGUGGUCGAAUGCGGCAGAUUGAAAACCUGUUGAUCGAGAAAUUGAUCCGGGGGUUCGAAUCCCCCUCCC